Long non-coding RNA from Ictalurus punctatus (channel catfish), 3402 nucleotides. The record is from Ensembl. NCBI's taxonomy places the organism in Eukaryota, Metazoa, Chordata, Actinopteri, Siluriformes, Ictaluridae.
GAAAAACCACUUUCCUUUGCUCCUAGCGCCUUCUCGUUCGCUGUAUAGCGUUUUGAGCGGAUAAAGAGCACAAGUGUGUAAGGGGACACAGGAUGAAUGGGAACUAGUUUUGUUAUUGUACUUUUGAUAAAAUGACUUUCUAGACAUAAAAUGUCACUUUUUUCACCUUAGCACACUUUAUCAUCAACAUUUUACAUUUUAAUGUCAACAAUCAUAUUUCGUAAUAUUUUAGGUCAGAAACAGUUCAUAGUACUAUAUUAUGUGUAAAUAUGUGAAAAAUAUCAUAUUGGAGUAGGUCGGGCAAUUGAUUACAUGAGUUUGUAGGAAAAACCACUUUCUUUUGCUCCAAGCCCCUUCUGAAGCGAUGUAUAGCGUUUUGAGAGUAUAAAGAGGACAAGUGUGCAUGGGGACACAGGAUGAAUGGGAACUAGUUUUGUCAUUGUACUUUUGAUGAAAAGUGACUUUCUAGACAUAAAAUGUCACUUUUUUCACCUUAGCACACUUUAUCAACAACUUUUACAUUUUAAUGUAAACAAUCAUAUUUCGUAGUAUUUUAGGUCAGAAACAGUUCAUAGUACUAUAUUAUGUGUAAAUAUGUGAAAAAUAUCAUACGGGAGUAGGUCGGGCAAUUGAUUACAUGAGUUUGUUGGAAAAACCACUUUCCUUUGCUCCUAGCGCCUUCUCAAUCGCUGUAUAGCGUUUUGAGUGUAUAAAGAGCACAAGUGUGUUUGGGAACACAGGAUGAAUGGGAACUAGUUUUGUCAUUGUACUUUUGAUGAAAAGUGACUUUCUAGACAUAAAAUGUCACUUUUUUCACCUUAGCACACUUUAUCAUCAACUUUUACAUUUUAAUGUAAACAAUCAUAUUUCGUAAUAUUUUAGGUCAGAAACAGUUCAUAGUACUAUAUUAUGUCUAAAUAUGUGAAAAACAUCAUAUGGGAGUAGGUCGGGCAAUUGAUUACAUGAGUUUGUUAGAAAAACCACUUUCCUUUGCUCCUAGCGCCUUCUCAAUCGCUGUAUAGCGUUUUGAGCGUAUAAAGAGCACAAGUGUGUAUUGGUACACAGGAUGAAUGGGAAUUAGUUUUGUCAUUGUACUUUUGGUGGAAAGUGACUUUCUAGACAUAAAAUGUCACUUUUUUCAGCUUAGCACACUUUAUCAUCAACUUUUACAUUUUAAUGUAAACAAUCAUAUUUCGUAAUAUUUUAGGUCAGAAACAUUUCAUAGUACUAUAUUAUGUGUAAAUAUGUGAAAAAUAUCAUACGGGAGUAUGUCGGGCAAUUGAUUAUAUGAGUUUGUUGGAAAAACCACUUUCCUUUACUCCUAGCGCCUUCUCAAUCGCUGUAUAGCGUUUUGAGUGUAUAAAGAGCACAAGUGUGUUUGUGAACACAGGAUGAAUGGGAACUAGUUUCGUCAUUGUACUUUUGAUGAAAAGUGACUUUCUAGACAUAAAAUGUCACUUUUUUCACCUUAGCACACUUUAUCAUCAACUUUUACAUUUUAAUGUAAACAAUCAUAUUUCGUAAUAUUUUAGGUCAGAAACAUUUCAUAGUACUAUAUUAUGUGUAAAUAUGUGAAAAAUGUCAUAUGGGAGUAGGUCGGGCAAUUGAUUACAUGAGUUUGUUAGAAAAACCACUUUCCUUUGCUCCUAGCGCCUUUUCAAACGCUGUAUAGCGUUUUGAGCAUAUAAAGAGCACAAGUGUGUAUGGGUACACAGGAUGAAUGGGAAUUAGUUUUGUCAUUGUACUUUUGAUGGAAAGUGACUUUCUAGACAUAAAAUGUCACUUUUUUCAGCUUAGCACACUUUAUCAUCAACUUUUACAUUUUAAUGUAAACAAUCAUAUUUCGUAAUAUUUUAGGUCAGUAACAGUUCAUAAUACUAUAUUAUGUGUAAAUAUGUGAAAAAUAUCAUAUUGGAUUCCAUCGGGCAAUUGAUUAUAUGAGUUUGUUAGAUAAACCACUUUACUUUGCUCCUAGCGCCUUCUGAAGCGCUGUAUCGCGUUUUGAGCGUAUAAUGAGCACCAGUGUGAAUGGACACACAGGAUGAAUAGGAACAAGUUUUGUUAUGGUACUUUUGAUGAAAAGUGACUUUCUACACUUCAAAUGACACUUUUUUCACCUUAUCAUCAAGUUUUACAUUUUAAUGUAAAAAAUCAUAUUUCGCCUUAUUUUAGGUCAGAAACAUUUCAUAGUACUGUAUUAUGUCUAACUAUGUGAAAAAUAUCAUAUUGGAGUCCGUCGGGAAAUUGAUUAUAUGAGUUUGUUAGAAAAACCACUUUCCUUUGCACCUAGCGCCUUCUCAAGCGCUGUAUAGCGUUUUGAGCAUAUAAAGAGCACAAGUGUGUAUGGGUACACAGGAUGAAUGGGAAUUCGUUUUGUCAUUGUACUUUUGAUGAAUAGUAACUUUCUACACUUCAAAUGACACUUUUUUCACCUUAUCAUACUUCACCAUCAAGUUUUACAUUUUAAUGUAAACAAUCAUAUUUCGUAUUAUUUUACGUCAGAAACAUUUCAUAGUACUGUGUUCUUUCUAACUAUGUGAAAUAUAUCAUAUUGGAUUCCAUCGGGCAAUUGAUUAUAUGAGUUUGUUAGAAAAACCACUUUCCUUUGCUCCUAGCGCUUUCUCAAGUGCAGUAUAAUGUUUUGAGCGUAUAAAGAGCACCAGUGUGUAUGGACAACAGGAUGAAUGGGAACAAGUUUGUUUAUGGUACUUUUGAUGAAAAGUGACUUUCUACACUUGAAAUAACACUUUUAUCACCUUAUAAUCGAGUUUUACAUUUUAAUGUAAAUAAUUAUAUUUCGUCUUAUUUUAGGUCAGAAACAUUUCAUAGUACUGUAUUAUGUCUAACUCUGUGAAAAAUAUCAUAUUGGAGUCCGUCGGGCAAUUGAUUAUAUGAGUUUCUUAGAAAAACCACUUUCCUUUGCUCCUAGCGCCUUCUCAUGCGCUGUAUAUCGUUUUGAGCGUAUAAAGAGCACCAGUGUGUAUGGACACACAGGAUGAAUGGGAACAAGUUUUGUUAUCGUAAUUUUGAUGAAAAGUGACUUUCUACACUUGAAAUGACACUUUUUUCACUUUAUCAUCAGGUUUUACAUUUUAAUGUAAACAAUCAUAUUUCGUCGUAUUUUAGGCCAGAAAUAUUUCAUUGUACUAUGUAAUGUCUAACUAUGUGAAAAAUAUCAUUCUGGAGUCCGUCGGGCAAUUGAUUAUAUGAGUUUGUUAGGAAAACCACUUUCCUUUGCUCCUAGCACCUUCUCAAGCGCUGUAUAGCAUUUUGACCGUAUAAAGAGCACUAGUGUGUCUGGACACGCAGGAUGAAUGGGAACAAGUUUUGUUAUGGUACUUUUGAUGAAAAGUGAUUUUCUACACUUCAAUUGAAGUGUAAGAAAUCAAAAUGACACUUUUU